Molecule: ribosomal RNA, 274 nt
Filed under: uncultured bacterium
Lineage: Bacteria
Description: partial 16S ribosomal RNA
Rfam family: Bacterial small subunit ribosomal RNA
Source: RNAcentral
AUACUUAGGGUGCAAGCGUUAAUCGGAAUUACUGGGCGUAAAGCGCUCGUAGGCGGCUUGUUAAGUCGGAUGUGAAAUCCCCGGGCUCAACCUGGGAACUGCAUUCGAUACUGGCAGGCUAGAGUAUAGUAGAGGCAAGUAGAAUUCCGGGUGUAGCGGUGAAAUGCGUAGAUAUCCGGAGGAACAUCAGUGGCGAAGGCGACUUGCUGGACUAAUACUGACGCUGAGGAGCGAAAGCGUGGGGAGCAAACGGGAUUAGAAACCCCAGUAGUCC